CAACCAUAAGAAAAGUUAUAAUAUGUCAUAACUUAUAUUAGUAACGAUAACAUUAUAAGAAUUUUUUUUCUAGUGAAGAUACCAAUUAUUGAACAUAAAACUAUUGGAGGAUUAAUUGCAGAUAGUACGUAAUUAGUUUUAAUUUGUAAAAAAAUGUAUAUUGGAGAGUAGAGUGGGAGUAUUGACAAUACGUUCAGAAAUUUAUACUAAAAAUUUAAAGUUAGCUUCAACUCUUUUACAGCAGAACGUCACCUAAUGACCUGCCAACUUUUAAAUUCAGGACUUGAAACCUGUUGCCAGUUCUUACCGAUUUCCCAGUUUUUUUGGAACCUAAAAACGGUUACUGUUAUUCUAAUUUUAUUCCCAGGUAUCUGGUUUCGGUUACCUUAACGAUUUUUAAGUUACCAUAAAACGUUAUAAUAAUACAAUAUGUUUUGACAGGUUAAGAACCAAUUACUGAUUUUUAAUUAUUAUUAUUAUUAUUAUACCGAGUACCAACUACUGUUACUUAUGAGUUAUGAACUAUUCAACUAUACUAUGUUUAAAUAAUCUUAGCUACCUAAAUAAUGAUGAGUUUGUAGCUAGGUACUAUAAUUAUUGAUAUUUCACUUCUUAAAACUAUUUUUAAAUCAUAAUACACGCAUAAGUAUAAUAAAAUUGUUUUUAGAAAACCGAUAUUGAAUUAGUUACCGGUACCUAACCAACAUUUUUUUGAAGUGGUUAUAGCUUAAUCGGUAACGUUUAUAAUGAAUAAAAGACUGGUCAUAAUAUUACUACUAACAACAUGACUGGAUGAAAACUGACAAUUUCUGAAAUGGUUUUAAUCCCAAACGUUUAUUAUAUUUCUAAUAUUUUACAUUAAGUCCAUAUGAAACAAUAUAACAUUAAUUUUUUUCUUUUAUUAUUUGAAAUAAACAAUCUAUAACUUAGGGACACAAUAGGUUUAUGUGGUUAGAAUACUCGCGUAUACAUAUAAAUUAACAGGCUAAACUUGAUAUGAGAAUUCAUCCACUAAUGACACUCACUAUUAUUAUAUUGAUAACUAAUUAUUAUAAUUUUUAUUUAUUGUAGUUGAAUUUGCGAAG
Acyrthosiphon pisum (pea aphid) is the source of this 1085-nucleotide long non-coding RNA. RefSeq lists it as uncharacterized. The record is from RefSeq and is a predicted model, not a curated record. Lineage: Eukaryota; Metazoa; Arthropoda; Insecta; Hemiptera; Aphididae. The transcript has 3 exons.